RNAcentral lists this long non-coding RNA (448 nucleotides) under Homo sapiens (human). The record is from RNAcentral. Lineage: Eukaryota; Metazoa; Chordata; Mammalia; Primates; Hominidae.
CCACGCCCAGCUAAUUUUUUGUAUUUUUAGUAGAGAUGGGGUUUCACCGUGUUAGCCAGGAUGGUCUGGAUCUCGUGAUCUGGUGAUCCGCCCGCCUCAGCCUCCAAAGUGCUGUACAGGCGUGAGCCACCACGCCGGGCCCAAAAAGCUUUUAAAAAGAAAAACACUCAGCUGAUGAAAGAAACCACCGCUCUAACCAUGACAAUGCUUGGUUGACCUUUUCCUUCCUUUCUAGCAGUUGAGAACAACAAGCAAUAACAACCAUACGAAGAAUCUAGCAAACUCAGACUUUACUUCUCCUUUUCGUGGUCCUGGAAACAGCUCAGAAUAAAGUGGAUCUGGACCUCUACAGAAGAGAGGGAGCUCCAGAUUCCAGUCCAUUACACACAUGAAGUAUGCUUGCGGCCCACACCACUGCGCAAUUCUUCAAGACUAUGUUGUAUAUUCU